RNAcentral lists this signal recognition particle RNA (97 nucleotides) under Escherichia coli. RNAcentral's name for it is "signal recognition particle sRNA small type". It matches the Rfam family "Bacterial small signal recognition particle RNA". Rfam says of the family: The signal recognition particle (SRP) is a universally conserved ribonucleoprotein involved in the co-translational targeting of proteins to membranes. Archaeal SRP consists of a 7S RNA and homologues of the eukaryotic SRP19 and SRP54 proteins. Lineage: Bacteria; Pseudomonadati; Pseudomonadota; Gammaproteobacteria; Enterobacterales; Enterobacteriaceae. RNAcentral also lists the same sequence under 7 other names. The record is from RNAcentral.
UGUUGGUUCUCCCGCAACGCUAAUCUGUUUACCAGGUCAGGUCCGGAAGGAAGCAGCCAAGGCAGAUGACGCGUGUGCCGGGAUGUAGCUGGCAGGG